Cicer arietinum (chickpea) is the source of this 563-nucleotide non-coding RNA. The record is from RefSeq and is a predicted model, not a curated record. NCBI's taxonomy places the organism in Eukaryota, Viridiplantae, Streptophyta, Magnoliopsida, Fabales, Fabaceae.
UAAUCUGCAAGCAAAAUGAAAAAAGGAAAAGUUACAGUAUGUUCUAAAAUAAAGUGUAGAAUACUGUGUCGCACAAGAUCACAUUUUCAGAGGUUAUAUGUUUGCAGAUGAUAUGAGACAUUUCAAUAUACAAGGUCAAGAAUGCCAGUUUCAAAGUUUCAUGUCAGAAGUGAAAGCAGCUUCCGGGAGAAUUACAAGUCUGCAACUGCAAUUGCAGCCGCAUCAGUUGCGUUUUGCCACAAUACCAAGGAUCGCAAAAUAACUGCAACUGCAAUCUAGAAAACUGCUAUCUUCUAUGGACAUUGUCAAUGACUCAUUUGGUUAAUUACGUAUAAAAAUAUUUACAAUAUCCUGUGUUGUAAUUCUUCCAUAAAACUAGAACAUUUGAAAAUUAUAUUUUGACAAACAUGUGGUCAAUUCUCGCAGUCAACAUGUUGCUAAUUUGAAUCUAGACAACAUUGAUAGCUUUGUCCCUUUGCAACUAUAAGUCCUCCUAUUGCCAAUCAUUUUAUCUCUUGGUUUAUAAUAAAUGAUGAAUGGAUUUUUAUCUUACUUUUCUUCCA